GUUCCGCUGGCGCAAUGGUAGCGCGCAAGACUUCUAAUCUUGAGGUUGCGGGUUCGAGUCCCGCGCGGAAUG
Transfer RNA from Ophiostoma piceae, 72 nucleotides. It matches the Rfam family "tRNA". Rfam says of the family: Transfer RNA (tRNA) molecules are approximately 80 nucleotides in length. Their secondary structure includes four short double-helical elements and three loops (D, anti-codon, and T loops). The record is from Rfam. Lineage: Eukaryota; Fungi; Ascomycota; Sordariomycetes; Ophiostomatales; Ophiostomataceae.